RNAcentral lists this ribosomal RNA (432 nucleotides) under uncultured bacterium. RNAcentral's name for it is "partial 16S ribosomal RNA". It matches the Rfam family "Bacterial small subunit ribosomal RNA", at positions 30 to 507 of the family's 1533-position model. The record is from RNAcentral.
CGAACGCUGGCGGCAGGCCUACCACAUGCAAGUCGAACGAACCUUUCGGGGUUAGUGGCGGACGGGUGAGUAACACGUGGGAACGUGCCUUUAGGUUCGGAAUAACUCAGGGAAACUUGUGCUAAUACCGAAUGUGCCCUUCGGGGGAAAGAUUAAUCGCCUUUAGAGCGGCCCGCGUCUGAUUAGCUAGUUGGUUGAGGUAAUGGCUCACCAAGGCGACGAUCAGUAGCUGGUCUGAGAGGAUGAUCAGCCACAUUGGGACUGAGACACGGCCCAAACUCCUACGGGAGGCAGCAGUGGGGAAUCUUGCGCAAUGGGCGAAAGCCUGACGCAGCCAUGCCGCGUGAAUGAUGAAGGUCUUAGGAUUGUAAAAUUCUUUCACCGGGGACGAUAAUGACGGUACCCGGAGAAGAAGCCCCGGCUAACUUCGUG